UGGUGAUUUUGGGGUGUUGCCUCUC
Molecule: non-coding RNA, 25 nt
Filed under: Mus musculus (house mouse)
Lineage: Eukaryota; Metazoa; Chordata; Mammalia; Rodentia; Muridae
Source: RNAcentral